RNAcentral lists this ribosomal RNA (493 nucleotides) under uncultured bacterium. RNAcentral describes it as "partial 16S ribosomal RNA". It matches the Rfam family "Bacterial small subunit ribosomal RNA", at positions 28 to 506 of the family's 1533-position model. The record is from RNAcentral.
GACGAACGCUGGCGGCGUGCUUAACGCAUGCAAGUCGAACGGAAAGGCCUGCUUUCCCUUGUGGAUUGCGGGUACUCGAGUGGCGAACGGGUGAGUAACACGUGAGUGAUCUGCCCCCAACUUGGGUAUAAGCCUGGGAAACUGGGUCUAAUUCCCGAUAGGACUGCAGGGUGGUGCCUGUGGUGGAAAACGAUUUUCUAGUGGUUGGGGAUGAGCUCGCGGCCUAUCAGCUUGUUGGUGGGGUAAUGGCCUACCAAGGCGGCGACGGGUAGCCGGCCUGAGAGGGUGGACGGCCACAUUGGGACUGAGAUACGGCCCAGACUCCUACGGGAGGCAGCAGUGGGGAAUAUUGCACAAUGGGCGGAAGCCUGAUGCAGCGACGCCGCGUGGGGGAUGACGGCCUUCGGGUUGUAAACUCCUUUCGACCGCGAGGAAGCCACCUGGUUGGAAGGGUGGUGACGGUAGUGGAAGAAGAAGCACCGGCUAACUACAU